This 435-nucleotide ribosomal RNA is filed under the name uncultured bacterium. RNAcentral describes it as "partial 16S ribosomal RNA". It matches the Rfam family "Bacterial small subunit ribosomal RNA", at positions 28 to 507 of the family's 1533-position model. The record is from RNAcentral.
GAUGAACGCUGGCGGUAUGCUUAACACAUGCAAGUCGAACGGACUCUUCGGAGUUAGUGGCGGACGGGUGAGUAACGCGUGAGAAUCUGGCUUUGGGUUCGGGACAACCACUGGAAACGGUGGCUAAUACCGGAUGUGCUGAGAGGUAAAAGAGAAAUUGCCUGAAGAUGAGCUCGCGUCUGAUUAGCUAGUUGGUGAGGUAAAGGCUCACCAAGGCAGCGAUCAGUAGCUGGUCUGAGAGGAUGACCAGCCACACUGGGACUGAGACACGGCCCAGACUCCUACGGGAGGCGGCAGUGGGGAAUUUUCCGCAAUGGGCGAAAGCCUGACGGAGCAAUACCGCGUGAGGGAAGAAGGCUCUUGGGUUGUAAACCUCUUUUCUUAGGGAAGAACAAAAUGACGGUACCUAAGGAAUCAGCAUCGGCUAACUCCGUG